This 491-nucleotide ribosomal RNA is filed under the name uncultured bacterium. RNAcentral describes it as "partial 16S ribosomal RNA". It matches the Rfam family "Bacterial small subunit ribosomal RNA", at positions 28 to 507 of the family's 1533-position model. The record is from RNAcentral.
GAUGAACGCUGGCUACAGGCUUAACACAUGCAAGUCGAGGGGAAACGACGGGGCAGCUUGCUUCCCCGGGCGUCGACCGGCGCACGGGUGAGUAACGCGUAUCCAACCUGCCUCUGACUGAGGGAUAACCCGUCGAAAGUCGGCCUAAUACCUCAUGGCAUCGUCUGCGGGCAUCCAACGACGAUUAAAGAUUUCAUCGGUCAGGGAUGGGGAUGCGUCUGAUUAGCUUGUUGGCGGGGUAACGGCACACCAAGGCUACGAUCAGUAGGGGUUCUGAGAGGAAGGUUCCCCACAUUGGAACUGAGCCACAGUCCAAACUGCUAAGGGAGGCAGAAGUGAAGAAUACUGGUCAACGGGAGGCAGCCUGAACCAGCCAAGUAGCGUGCAGGAAGACAGCACUAUGGGUUGUAAACUGCUAUUAUGCGGGGAUAAAGUGAGGGAAGUGUCCUUCAUUGCAGGUACAGAAUGAAUAAGGAACGGCUAAUUCCGUG